This 391-nucleotide ribosomal RNA is filed under the name Plagiostriata sp. Its description in RNAcentral is "partial small subunit ribosomal RNA". It matches the Rfam family "Eukaryotic small subunit ribosomal RNA", at positions 582 to 975 of the family's 1831-position model. The record is from RNAcentral. Lineage: Eukaryota; Bacillariophyta; Fragilariophyceae; Staurosirales; Staurosiraceae.
AUUCCAGCUCCAAUAGCGUAUAUUAAAGUUGUUGCAGUUAAAAAGCUCGUAGUUGGAUUUGUGGUUGGAGCGGUCGGUCCGACACUCUGUGUGGGUACUUGACUGUCUCCGUCCAUCCUUGGGUGGAACCUGUGUGGCAUUAGGUUGUCGUGCAGGGGAUGCCCAUCUUUUACUGUGAAUAAAUUAGAGUGUUCAAAGCAGGCUUACGCCGUUGAAUAUGCUAGCAUGGAAUAAUAAGAUAGGACCUUGGUACUAUUUUGUUGGUUUGCGCACCGAGGUAAUGAUUAAUAGGGACAGUUGGGGGUAUUCGUAUUGCACUGUCAGAGGUGAAAUUCUUGGAUUUUUGCAAGACGAACGACUGCGAAAGCAUUUACCAAGGAUGUUUUCAUCA